RNAcentral lists this transfer RNA (81 nucleotides) under Ramlibacter aurantiacus. RNAcentral describes it as "tRNA-Gly". Lineage: Bacteria; Pseudomonadati; Pseudomonadota; Betaproteobacteria; Burkholderiales; Comamonadaceae. The record is from RNAcentral.
GCGGGUGCGUCGAACCUGACGAGGUGAGACGAAGAGCUUCCCAAGCUCAAGACGUGGGUUCGAUUCCCAUCGCCCGCUCCA